RNAcentral lists this unclassified non-coding RNA (379 nucleotides) under uncultured Simkaniaceae bacterium. RNAcentral's name for it is "contains 16S-23S intergenic spacer region". The record is from RNAcentral. Lineage: Bacteria; Pseudomonadati; Chlamydiota; Chlamydiia; Parachlamydiales; Simkaniaceae.
UCCUAGUUAACCUAGGCAGUCUCACUAGAGUCCCCAUCUUUCAUGUUGGCAACUAAUGAUAAGGGUUGCGCUCGUUGCUGGACUUAACCAAACACCUCACGGCACGAGCUGACGACAGCCAUGCAGCACCUAUACAGAAGUCCUUACGGAAAGCUACAUCUCUGUAGCGGUCCUCUGCAUUUCGAGCCCAGGUAAGGUUCUUCGCGUUGCAUCGAAUUAAACCACAUGCUCCACUGCUUGUGCGGGCCCCCGUCAAUUCUUUUGAGUUUCACUCUUGCGAGCGUACUCCUCAGGCGGUGUACUUAUCGCGUUAGCUUCGACACAGUUCAGGGUUGAGCCUGAUCUACAUCAAGUACACAUCGUUUACGGCGUGGACUAC